GACGAACGCUGGCGGCGUGCUUAACACAUGCAAGUCGAACGGAAAGGCCCUGCUUUUGUGGGGUGCUCGAGUGGCGAACGGGUGAGUAACACGUGAGUAACCUGCCCUUGACUUUGGGAUAACUUCAGGAAACUGGGGCUAAUACCGGAUAGGAGCUCCUGCUGCAUGGUGGGGGUUGGAAAGUUUCGGCGGGUGGGGAUGGACUCGCGGCUUAUCAGCUUGUUGGUGGGGUAGUGGCUUACCAAGGCUUUGACGGGUAGCCGGCCUGAGAGGGUGACCGGCCACAUUGGGACUGAGAUACGGCCCAGACUCCUCCGGGAGGCAGCAGUGGGGAAUAUUGAACAAUGGGCGGAAGCCUGAUGCAGCAACGCCGCGUGCGGGAUGACGGCCUUCGGGUUGUAAACCGCUUUCGCCUGUGACGAAGCGUGAGUGACGGUAAUGGGUAAAGAAGCACCGGCUAACUACGUG
Molecule: ribosomal RNA, 468 nt
Filed under: uncultured bacterium
Lineage: Bacteria
Description: partial 16S ribosomal RNA
Rfam family: Bacterial small subunit ribosomal RNA
Source: RNAcentral